This is a long non-coding RNA of Dreissena polymorpha, 2237 nucleotides long. RefSeq lists it as uncharacterized. The record is from RefSeq and is a predicted model, not a curated record. NCBI's taxonomy places the organism in Eukaryota, Metazoa, Mollusca, Bivalvia, Myida, Dreissenidae. The transcript is spliced from 3 exons.
CUAACAAAUAUAAAUAAAGAACCUUAAAUUGUUGAAAUCGAGGUGCGAUUUGUGGAUAUUGCAAUUUCGUACAAUUGUUAAGUCUAACAAUGGGAAACAUACACUGCCAUUGUCCAGGCUGUUGUCUAGGCUGUUGUCCACGCUUUUGUCGAGCUAACAACGACCACCAUUCCAAACAACCCACUGAUAAAAAUGAUGCCUUAAAUGGUGAGAGUUCGCGCUUAACAAAUGAUGACCGAUUGGUACCAAAAGCGAAGAUUGCUAAACACUAUGAUAGCACUCCGGAUCACAAAAGCCAACAAAAAAAGCGUAAGACGGAUGUUUUAGAGGUAGAGGUCAUGGCAGCCGCCAGGAUAUGUACAGAUGACCGAGAUGCCUAAAUGAUUGCCGGCGAUAUUCACAAGGAAAACAUACCAACAGUUUAUGUCCGUGAUAAUAAUGGCGGGGAGGUGGUUUACUUUCCCGAAUGACGAAUUGGCAUAAAGCAAAUAAUGGACAGCAUUUCGGACCAAAAUAGUACUAUAUCAUGAUUCAAUCGCCUUAUACCACCAAUUUAUAACACAUAUUUUUAACAAGGAAAUUCUCUCUAUCAGAAUAUUGUAAAAUCUUUGUUAUGUGAAAUUAAAUAUCAUAAACAAACAUGCUGGAAAUAUAAUUUGACGAGACUUUAAAUAUUAAUGGUACUAUAAGGAAAACUUUGCGCCAAUAUUUAGAAUUGAUUAAGUAUUUAACUCUAUUAUCAUGUAUUCAGUACAUGAACGAGUGAUAUGGAAGAAAAUGAAACAGUAAUUUACGAACAAAAUAUGGCUAAAAAAGAACCAAAGCAUUUCUGGCAUUAUGCUUUUUUAUGUGCAAACACAAUAUUUCAAAGUCAUCUAUGCCCUUAGAACAUGUUAUAUUAUUUUCCAUUAAAAUGAGGGUUCGUUGCGAAACUCGAUGAAUUAAAACUAGAUAUGACGGAAUAUAUAUGAUGACAACGAUAAUCUACUCAUGUACGUCUUAUAAUUUUCGCGCAUUUAUUAGUUCUUAGACAUUAAGGAAAUACAAAAUUGCGCAAUAGUUACAAGUAAUUGGUUUUGGGAUCCCAAAUGUGAUCUGUUGUCCAGAUAUCGUACGUACUUUUACUAUAUAUUUUAAUGUUCCUUGAGGUUUUCAUUAUUUCCAUCUACUGUAACUGGUAACGGGAUUUUCAUUUACGUACGAUAAAUUAUUUAGUUCUUAAUAAUUAAUUAUUCUGUACAUUACGGUCUUAGUGAAUGUUGUUUCUAUUGUAUUUCAUUUUCAAUUAGCAUUAAAUGCUUCCAUUCUUCGAUCUGUGCGAAUUAGCGUUAAGCGCUAAUAUUCUUUGAUCCAUAAUAGAUGUAAAUAAUUAAAGAAGUCGAUAGUAUAAACAGCCCAUUUUAUUCUCUGUAAAAUAUCCAGAAAACACUGUGUUAAUUUAUUAAAACAAGAUAAAUGUUUGCAUGCAUAAAUAUCAUUUAUGAUAUAUAAGUACAUAUGCAACGAUAUUGAUUCUUAUUAUAUGUUAAUAAAUCACACAGAAUAUUAUUCAAUUUCACUAACAGUUUUCAAGCAUUAACAUUGUUUUAUCAACUCCUAAAAUAAAGAAAUUAUUUAUUUAUGAGAAAACAGUACUAUUUGUUUAACUAAUAUGAUACUUAUAAAAUAGCAAUUAUCAUAAAUACGCAAUAUAUAUUUAUUUGGAUAUUAUGCAGUCAAACAACUUUUCUGAAUACCCUACACUGAAUGUAGCUGAAACAAAUUAAAGUAGUAGACAAUAAUUUAAGUAUGAAUAUAUUUAUUUGCAAAUACGUUUCUCACGUGAUCCUACGUGGUCUCACGUGGUACGCUGAUUCACCCACUUUUUUAUAUUUGUUCGGGUCAAAGCUGUUAACCCUUAGUCAUGGAACUUUCUGGAAGUUUCUACUGCUUACGUUUGCGUUCUUGAUUUGGUAAACAAUUUAGAUUGGAAUGUGCUACUCUUUCUCUUAGCUUACUAAGCUGUUUUCUUAUAGUACAUCAAGGUAGUUUUUCAAUAUGAUAGAGUUUGUAGCUCACCUGGCACAAAAAGUGUACCGAUGUGGUUUUUUUUAAAACUGGGCUUAAUGCGAUAUAAAUUGCCCAAUUCCUUAAGUAUUUUUAACAAUAUAUAAUAGUUAUUCUAAACAAGAUGCAAAAGUUAUUUUAAACAAUAUGCACUAGUUAUUUUAAACAAUAUGCAAUAGUUAUUUUAAACA